GGGUUGUGAGGUUAAGCGACUAAGCGUACACGGUGGAUGCCCUGGCAGUCAGAGGCGAUGAAGGACGUGCUAAUCUGCGAUAAGCGUCGGUAAGGUGAUAUGAACCGUUAUAACCGGCGAUUUCCGAAUGGGGAAACCCAGUGUGUUUCGACACACUAUCAUUAACUGAAUCCAUAGGUUAAUGAGGCGAACCGGGGGAACUGAAACAUCUAAGUACCCCGAGGAAAAGAAAUCAACCGAGAUUCCCCCAGUAGCGGCGAGCGAACGGGGAGCAGCCCAGAGCCUGAAUCAGUGUGUGUGUUAGUGGAAGCGUCUGGAAAGGCGCGCGAUACAGGGUGACAGCCCCGUACACAAAAAUGCACAUAUUGUGAGCUCGAUGAGUAGGGCGGGACACGUGGUAUCCUGUCUGAAUAUGGGGGGACCAUCCUCCAAGGCUAAAUACUCCUGACUGACCGAUAGUGAACCAGUACCGUGAGGGAAAGGCGAAAAGAACCCCGGCGAGGGGAGUGAAAAAGAACCUGAAACCGUGUACGUACAAGCAGUGGGAGCACGCUUAGGCGUGUGACUGCGUACCUUUUGUAUAAUGGGUCAGCGACUUAUAUUCUGUAGCAAGGUUAACCGAAUAGGGGAGCCGAAGGGAAACCGAGUCUUAACUGGGCGUUAAGUUGCAGGGUAUAGACCCGAAACCCGGUGAUCUAGCCAUGGGCAGGUUGAAGGUUGGGUAACACUAACUGGAGGACCGAACCGACUAAUGUUGAAAAAUUAGCGGAUGACUUGUGGCUGGGGGUGAAAGGCCAAUCAAACCGGGAGAUAGCUGGUUCUCCCCGAAAGCUAUUUAGGUAGCGCCUCGUGAACUCAUCUCCGGGGGUAGAGCACUGUUUCGGCAAGGGGGUCAUCCCGACUUACCAACCCGAUGCAAACUGCGAAUACCGGAGAAUGUUAUCACGGGAGACACACGGCGGGUGCUAACGUCCGUCGUGAAGAGGGAAACAACCCAGACCGCCAGCUAAGGUCCCAAAGUCAUGGUUAAGUGGGAAACGAUGUGGGAAGGCCCAGACAGCCAGGAUGUUGGCUUAGAAGCAGCCAUCAUUUAAAGAAAGCGUAAUAGCUCACUGGUCGAGUCGGCCUGCGCGGAAGAUGUAACGGGGCUAAACCAUGCACCGAAGCUGCGGCAGCGACGCUUAUGCGUUGUUGGGUAGGGGAGCGUUCUGUAAGCCUGUGAAGGUGUGCUGUGAGGCAUGCUGGAGGUAUCAGAAGUGCGAAUGCUGACAUAAGUAACGAUAAAGCGGGUGAAAAGCCCGCUCGCCGGAAGACCAAGGGUUCCUGUCCAACGUUAAUCGGGGCAGGGUGAGUCGACCCCUAAGGCGAGGCCGAAAGGCGUAGUCGAUGGGAAACAGGUUAAUAUUCCUGUACUUGGUGUUACUGCGAAGGGGGGACGGAGAAGGCUAUGUUGGCCGGGCGACGGUUGUCCCGGUUUAAGCGUGUAGGCUGGUUUUCCAGGCAAAUCCGGAAAAUCAAGGCUGAGGCGUGAUGACGAGGCACUACGGUGCUGAAGCAACAAAUGCCCUGCUUCCAGGAAAAGCCUCUAAGCAUCAGGUAACAUCAAAUCGUACCCCAAACCGACACAGGUGGUCAGGUAGAGAAUACCAAGGCGCUUGAGAGAACUCGGGUGAAGGAACUAGGCAAAAUGGUGCCGUAACUUCGGGAGAAGGCACGCUGAUAUGUAGGUGAAGUCCCUUGCGGAUGGAGCUGAAAUCAGUCGAAGAUACCAGCUGGCUGCAACUGUUUAUUAAAAACACAGCACUGUGCAAACACGAAAGUGGACGUAUACGGUGUGACGCCUGCCCGGUGCCGGAAGGUUAAUUGAUGGGGUCAGCGCAAGCGAAGCUCUUGAUCGAAGCCCCGGUAAACGGCGGCCGUAACUAUAACGGUCCUAAGGUAGCGAAAUUCCUUGUCGGGUAAGUUCCGACCUGCACGAAUGGCGUAAUGAUGGCCAGGCUGUCUCCACCCGAGACUCAGUGAAAUUGAACUCGCUGUGAAGAUGCAGUGUACCCGCGGCAAGACGGAAAGACCCCGUGAACCUUUACUAUAGCUUGACACUGAACAUUGAGCCUUGAUGUGUAGGAUAGGUGGGAGGCUUUGAAGUGUGGACGCCAGUCUGCAUGGAGCCGACCUUGAAAUACCACCCUUUAAUGUUUGAUGUUCUAACGUUGACCCGUAAUCCGGGUUGCGGACAGUGUCUGGUGGGUAGUUUGACUGGGGCGGUCUCCUCCUAAAGAGUAACGGAGGAGCACGAAGGUUGGCUAAUCCUGGUCGGACAUCAGGAGGUUAGUGCAAUGGCAUAAGCCAGCUUGACUGCGAGCGUGACGGCGCGAGCAGGUGCGAAAGCAGGUCAUAGUGAUCCGGUGGUUCUGAAUGGAAGGGCCAUCGCUCAACGGAUAAAAGGUACUCCGGGGAUAACAGGCUGAUACCGCCCAAGAGUUCAUAUCGACGGCGGUGUUUGGCACCUCGAUGUCGGCUCAUCACAUCCUGGGGCUGAAGUAGGUCCCAAGGGUAUGGCUGUUCGCCAUUUAAAGUGGUACGCGAGCUGGGUUUAGAACGUCGUGAGACAGUUCGGUCCCUAUCUGCCGUGGGCGCUGGAGAACUGAGGGGGGCUGCUCCUAGUACGAGAGGACCGGAGUGGACGCAUCACUGGUGUUCGGGUUGUCAUGCCAAUGGCACUGCCCGGUAGCUAAAUGCGGAAGAGAUAAGUGCUGAAAGCAUCUAAGCACGAAACUUGCCCCGAGAUGAGUUCUCCCUGACUCCUUGAGAGUCCUGAAGGAACGUUGAAGACGACGACGUUGAUAGGCCGGGUGUGUAAGCGCAGCGAUGCGUUGAGCUAACCGGUACUAAUGAACCGUGAGGCUUAACCUUACAACGCCGAAG
RNAcentral lists this ribosomal RNA (2925 nucleotides) under Escherichia coli. RNAcentral's name for it is "bacterial LSU rRNA". It matches the Rfam family "Bacterial large subunit ribosomal RNA". Lineage: Bacteria; Pseudomonadati; Pseudomonadota; Gammaproteobacteria; Enterobacterales; Enterobacteriaceae. The record is from RNAcentral.